UGUCCAAAUACCCCCUGCUGGCAAGGACUCUAAAUGCAGCGGCUUUGGCUUUUAACAGGGUAUCUGGGUUCACUGUCAAAUUUUAGCCAAUUUAUGCUCAUUUCGUGAGGUUAAUGGGCAAGGCAUUGAGGCAUUGGUAACAGCUGCAGAGUGGUGGACGCUGGGCUGUGCUGUCCGCCUGAGUGCCAGGCCUGAGAUGACAUGUUCCUGGUCCUCAGAGUUGGGCCGGGAAUGAGGGUCUGGUGUAUUGUCCUAUCCAGUCCUGCAGGCUGCCAGGCGCCUUAAUGCCCAAAUUAAUUUUAAAGAGUUUAUUUUUUCGCACUCCACACAGACAAGAACACACACACACGCACACACGUGAACACACACACACACACACACACACACACACACACACACACACGAUGGUCAGUUCUAUUGUUUUCUUUUGGAUGGAUGACUUAUGCCUUUUCCUCUUUUUCAAACCCAAUGUUUUAUAUUCGUAGCCUUAAGACAACAUGUUUUGCUUGCCACCUCUGCUUGACUAUAUAUGUGUGAAAUGCAGAUCCGGGCGACAGGGGGAGAAGGGAGAGAGAGGGAGCCAGAGAGGCAAAGAGAGAGAGGGAGAGGGAGAGAGAGAGGCAGAGAAGAAGAAGGUGAGAGGGAGGAGGGCAGAGAGAGGGCACGACAAAGAGAAAGAAAGAGAGGGUAAAAGAGGGAAAGAGAGAUGGGGGAGAAGGAGGAGAGAAAGAGAGAGAGAGAGAGAGAGAGAGAGAGAGAGAGAGAGAGAGAGAGAGAGAGAGAGAGAGAGAGAGAGAGAGAGAGAGAGAGAGAGAGAGAGGGAAACCGGUAGAGCUUUGACGCCACAUGAUCUGUCGCGUGUCAGCCAGGCUCCAUCAUUCCACCCCCAGGUGGGUCUCCCUCUGGCGUGCAAGACUUUUCUGUAACAAUCUUUUCUUCUCCUCCUCUUCCACCUGUUCCCCCUCCUCCCUCUCCCGCUGCUCCUUCACAGAGAAGCCGAUGGCGCGGGGCCCCCCCGGGGGGGUGAUCGGGGUCCUGGGGGGCAUAGUCGCCAUCGGUCUGAUCAUCGCUGUGGCGAUCACUGUCGUCAUGAUGCACCGGCGCCAGCAGAAGACGGCCACAGAGACGGAUAACGACCUCAUUGCUGUGGCGGCUGUGGUGGCUGAUAGCUCUGUACCGCAGGCUCCAGAGAAGCCCGGCUCCUCCUCCUCCUCCUCCCCCACCAGGGCCGACCUCCCACCCGCACACAAGCCCGCCCCUCCCCCGCCGAAGAAGAAGACCUGCGACAUGAAGGGACACCUGACUUCUGAGGACAUCCAGGUGGUGCACCUGGACAAGGACGAGGAGAUGCAGAAGCUUCCCCUCCAGCCUCCAUACUACGACAUGGCGCCCUCUGAGUCAACCCCCUUCACCGAUAAAAUGAACUGUGGGCGGCGCCCAGAAGACGUUCUGAACCCGGCCCCGUACGUGACCUACCAGCCGAUCUGCUCCAUGGAAACCUUCUCCCAGCCAGCCCCACCACCGGCAGCACACCCCCAGCCUCCCACCUCCUUCCUGCCCCAACACCCCUACGCCCACCCCCACCGCCCUCUGCACCAGCAGCCUCCGGGCCAAGAGAUCUCCUACCCCCCCAACAUGGGCCACCCUGUGCCUGGUCCGCGAGCCCCCUUCACCUACUCCAGGGAGCAGUCGGUGUGAGGCGCGGUGACCCCCGCAGUAACCCCCCCCCCCCCCCCCCCCCCCACACACACCUCCGAGGAUCUACGCAACGACCAGCGGAACCGUGACUGCGACGCCUCCCCCUGUCUCCCUCCAACUCCUCCACACGUCGGUGUAGUGUGAGCUCAGUAUACGGGUGGUGUCUUUUAUAUGUGAGCUGUCUCCGUCCUCCCUCUGUGACCCCCCCCCCCCCCCUUGUCCCUACCUUGUGUGUCGUGCACUGCUUGUAUCACGGAAGGCGUAGCGUAUAGAAACACGACACCUAGUGCUGUUAGCCGUUAGACGCUGUUAUCUCCCCACCGCCCUCCUCCAACCUCCUCCACCCCUCUCCGCUGCUCCCUUGUGCCCGUGGGAUCCGGGUCCUCAUUCCCAACGCUACGUGUCUAACCAUGUACUGUGUUUGCCAUUCUUUUGUUUAUUCGGUCGCUUUUUCAAUUUCGUUUUUUAUUUGACUCACCGCGGCCGUGACCGCUUAUAUCCGUGUUCAUUGUUGCUUUUUUCCGUUGUUUUUUUUGUCGAUUAUAUGCUUGCUUCUUCAAGAAAAACUACAUAACGUACUGUAUUUGUGAUUUGGAUGUGUAAUCUGAAAAAAAUGAUGUAACUAUUAAUACUUUUUUAGAAUUGUUUACCUAUAAAUAGGACAUGGCCUGCCCCCCUUUUUCAUGAGUUAUUGGCAGAGUGGUCGGAAUUGGCAGUUACUCCCUUCUUCCCCUCGUCAUUAAAAAACUGCAGCCAUAUUUGAUUCGAUUUAGAUAGGUUGAAUUAUAAGAAAGACACGUUGUCCUCACCAUAAAAUAAGAACAGAUAAGGGCUAAAAAUAAGCAACUAUUUUUCCCUCUUACAUGACAGUAUAUUAAUAUAAUUAUUAUUAAUGUUAUUAUUAAUAUUAUUCAUAGCAGUAUUGUUAGUUGCCAAGGCUAGGAGCAUUCUAUUUUGCUAAUGUGUAUUUUUAGUCAUAUUAUUUUGUAUUGUUUUCCAUUUGCUUCCAUGCUAACGUUUACAUUCGACCGUAUUUGUUCAAGGGAAUGUACAGCGAAGAUUGGCAACAUGCUCAGCUAGUUUACAUUACUGCUUGCCACACGCUGUGUUUCUAAAUGGAGUUUACUGGAAGGUUAAUUAACGCAAGGGUCCUAGGUGGGAUUUUUUAUCGAGGGGGGGAACAGAGCCUCCUCUACGCAGGUGCAAUAGAUGAAUAUGACAAUCACUUUUUAGGGCUGCCCUAGGAAAACUUUGUUUUUCAUGGUUUAUUCAAGGUUUGUUUAGUUUUCAUUUAUUUAUUUAUUUUUUACUAAUUGCUCAAAAAGCCAACUUUUUUUUCCCAGGACAGCCCUCCCACAUAUUGAAAUGUUUUAUUUUAGGAUUGCACCUCUCAAAAGCCUAAAGAGUUGAACAAUAAUCCGCUGAAGAAAGAGCUUGCUACUGUAUUUUUCUAGAGAACACUUCCGUAUAGACUGUAUCGAUUGAGCUUUACAAAUAUAUAACACACACUGUGACUGUCGCUAUUAAACCAUACAUAAGCUAACUCUCCUACGACGAGCCAACUCUAACACACUGCCACCAACACACACAACACGUCCACGACACAUAACACAACUGCAUAAAUAACUGAAAGGUUCACACAUUUUCUUUUUGCCAUGUCAGGUUUGUGUAUAGGAUAAAAAAUGAGAAUACUUGUGUUUGUGCUCGAUGUGAAAGAUGUUUAAAAAAUGACAAGUAGAUUAACCCUUGAGAUGUUGAAGGUGUUAGUGUUUACUCUUGACGGUUGUAUGAAUUUGGGUAAAAAAAAUCUCCUUUUGCUCAUUGUUGUCCUGCGAUGGCUGAAUCGGUGUGCGAGUUCUGAGUGGAACCGGUUUCGUCCGGUUUGAACUGCAGCAUCGACAUGUUGUCUUGGUGUAACUGCUGUAUGAAAACACAAACACACAGAAUGCUUUCUUGUGACACAUUGUUAAUAACAACCUCCCUUAUUAUUAUUAUUAUUAUUACUAUCGUUAUUAUAAUUAUGACUAUAACUGUGAUUAAUAUUAUUACCGCUACUGCAUUCUUGGAAUGAAAUGUACUUCUAUUUAUUUCUAAAUUGUUUUGUCUGUCCUCAAUUGUGUUGACCUUCAUCUUUUUCUAUGAUUUUUGUUUAUAACUUUUCUUUUGUUUCAUGUUACUUUUCUUUUUCUAAAUAGUGCGUAUAUUUCUCUUGAAACCCUCAUCUGUACAUUUGAGUGGACGGUAAUCAUCUGAUGUAGCAGACACUACUAGAGCUGCGGUAGGAAAGAAAGUGUGGAAGAAUUUAACCAUUAUUUUUUACAUCCUGAGUUCUUUGUGUAAAUAUUAACAGUGUAUCUGGUGUGUUGAAAAAAAGAAACAAAAAAAAAGAACAAGCCAUGCAGGUUAACAUUAAACUUCACUAAUGAUCCAUGUAAUAUGUGUGGUGUUUGUGUCUUAAUCAUUCUAUCCACCAUCCAUCCAUCCAUCCACCCCCACCUGCUUUAGCAUGUAAACAUGUAUGCGCACACACACACACACACACACACACACACACACACACACACACACACACACACACACACACACACACACACACACACACACACACACACACACACACACACACACACAAUAUGACAGUGGAGUCUCAAUAUUCAUUCUAAACAUCCACCAUUCAAAAGG
RNAcentral lists this long non-coding RNA (4380 nucleotides) under Gadus morhua (Atlantic cod). RNAcentral's name for it is "lncRNA (ENSGMOG00000035914.1)". The record is from RNAcentral. Lineage: Eukaryota; Metazoa; Chordata; Actinopteri; Gadiformes; Gadidae.